GAUGAACGCUAGCGGCAGGCCUAAUACAUGCAAGCCGAACGGCAAGUUUGAUAGCAAUAUUGGACCUAGAGUGGCGCAAGGGUGCGUAACACGUAUGCAACCUGCCCGCGACAGGAGGAUAGCUCCCCGAAAGGGGAAUUAACCCUCCAUAACACCAUGAGAAGGCAUCUGAUUAUGGUUAAACCGCAAGGGGUCGCGGAUGGGCAUGCGGUUGAUUAGCUAGUUGGCGGGGUAAAGGCCCACCAAGGCGGUGAUCAAUAGGGGUUCUGAGAGGAAGGUCCCCCACACUGGCACUGGGAUACGGGCCAGACUCCUAGGGAGGCAGCAGUAGGGAAUAUUGGACAAUGGUUGCAAGACUGAUCCAGCCAUGCCGCGUGCAGGAAGAAGGCCUUCUGGGUCGUAAACUGCUUUUUCCUGUGGAUAAAAUACCCGUGCGCGGGGAAUUGAAGGUAACAGGGGAAUAAGCCACGGCUAACUACGUG
Molecule: ribosomal RNA, 482 nt
Filed under: uncultured bacterium
Lineage: Bacteria
Description: partial 16S ribosomal RNA
Rfam family: Bacterial small subunit ribosomal RNA
Source: RNAcentral